RNA transcript from Phasianus colchicus (ring-necked pheasant), 912 nucleotides. It is a transcript of the gene named G protein-coupled receptor 12, with no coding region annotated. The record is from RefSeq and is a predicted model, not a curated record. Lineage: Eukaryota; Metazoa; Chordata; Aves; Galliformes; Phasianidae.
CGCUCCCUCAGCGGCGUCCUCCCGCCUCGCAGCAGGAGGCAUCUGCGCAGGCGCGCGAGCACGAGGCGAACCCCCGUUCCCGCGCAGAGCCCACGUGGCCGCGCGCGCGCCGCCUUCCCCUCUCCUCAGCCGAACAGCUGCGCGCGCAGGGGAAGGGGAGGGGGGGGGGGUGCGAGCGCGCGCACCUGCGCUGCGCCCUCGGCCCCUCGCGCCGAGCGGUGGAGGGCGGCCGCCUCGGAGGGACCCUGCGAGCCUCGUCCCACGUCCUCCGGGAGAGCCCAGGCACGCACAUUGCUGGAAAAGCUACGUCUCUAACUUUAAAGCUGACCAUUCCAUAUCGUAGUCAGUGAAAACUUGACUUCUGAACUUAUCUAGUGACUGACAGAUGGUCAGAGAGAAGAGUCUGAAGAGUUGACUGCUGGGGCAGCAGGAAGAUGGCUCAAAUUUGAGCUUACUGAGCAGGGUGGGAAAACAGCGACUGAAAUGGGAACAAUUGUUCUACAUGGCAGAUAAUGGUGUAAGAAAGUUAGAGAUGAGGAAUCCUUGGCAAGCACAUGUAAAGCACUUCACAGCAGGUGGCAACAUGAGCAGAAAGAGGUCCGUCAAGCACAUGGGAAACACAAGUAUCUGCUGCUUGUCCUUCCUGCUUCCCUGCCCCAGUGCUCGCUGUGAGGAAGUGGCAGUGCCAGACUGGAAAAGAGCUGAGUGCGCGUAAGUGACAUAGCUGAGGCACAGGCAGAAGGCACAAAUCCUACAUGAAGCAUGGCUUUCCAUCUCCAGGACUACCAAAAUGGCAACUUCAUAAGACUGAAUACACAGGGAAGAAAAAGAAAAGAAAAACAAAACAAAUCCUGCACACUGCUAGCAUUGAUGAACAGGUAUUGAUGUUCAUGAAAUAAAAUUUCUAUAGCA